GGUUCUAUAGUGUAGCUGGUUAUCACAUCGGAUUCUGAUUCCGGUAACCUGGGUUCGAAUCCCAGUAGGACCU
This 73-nucleotide transfer RNA is filed under the name Cytospora mali. Its description in RNAcentral is "tRNA-Gln (CTG) (tRNA-Gln-CTG-2-1)". It matches the Rfam family "tRNA". From Rfam's summary of the family: Transfer RNA (tRNA) molecules are approximately 80 nucleotides in length. Their secondary structure includes four short double-helical elements and three loops (D, anti-codon, and T loops). Lineage: Eukaryota; Fungi; Ascomycota; Sordariomycetes; Diaporthales; Cytosporaceae. The record is from RNAcentral.